UACGUAGGGGGCUAGCGUUGUCCGGAAUCAUUGGGCGUAAAGCGCGUGUAGGCGGUCCGGUAAGUCCGCUGUGAAAGUCGGGGGCUCAACCCUCGAAUGCCGGUGGAUACUGUCAGACUAGAGUACGGAAGAGGCGAGUGGAAUUCCUGGUGUAGCGGUGAAAUGCGCAGAUAUCAGGAGGAACACCGGUGGCGAAGGCGGUUCUCUGGGCAUUACCUGACGCUGAGGAGCGAAAGUGUGGGGAGCAAACAGG
Molecule: ribosomal RNA, 253 nt
Filed under: uncultured bacterium
Lineage: Bacteria
Description: partial 16S ribosomal RNA
Rfam family: Bacterial small subunit ribosomal RNA
Source: RNAcentral